CACUUAAUACAUUUUUAAAUCAAUCACUUUGUCUCUGUUUACAUUAGUUAAUGCACAAUGAACAUUAUCAAAUAUUAUUAAUGUUGUAAAAUAUAUUGUUCAUUGUUAGUUCAUAUUAGCUAAGGCAUUACCAAAUGUUAAGGAAUAAACUCUUAUAGUAAAGUGUUACUACAUUUUCUUUUACCAUUUCCUUCACAAUGUCUAUUUAUUUCUAUGGCUAACAGAUUUUGUAACAUUUGUCUUUUUUACAGUCUUACCAUUGCUUGUAAGCUGGAUUGGGUAAGAUGGAUCAUCUUUAAAGGCACCAGGAGUUAAGGCAGAUGUGGAGGCACAACGGGUGAUACCAGACACACACCAAGCACAUUAUGUUCGGACAUUCAAUCAUGACAGGAUCCAGGUGGAUGCUGUCCAUUGAGAAAAGAGUUUGUUCAGCGGUUUCUGGAUAGAAUUAAUUCCAAAGAUGGGAAAAAGUGCACAUCCAGACAAGGAGCAAGCAAAAAGACAAGGAACUUGGUGCAGAGAAAAGCUGUGGCCAUUAACCCCCAUGUGAACAGCUUCAUGCAGUCCCUGAUUGAGUUCGAAUGGACGACUUCAAAGUAAAGGCCACUGUGGUCUGUCUGCCACAGUUUAAUGCAUUUAUUUUUAGUGUUAAAUGAAAUUCAAGUAGAAUAUUUAAAACUAUGGGCCAGUGUUGUUUUUACCACAGUGAAAUGUUACCUUUUAGUCGAUGAUGGACUUUAAACUGAAAACUUCAAACUAUGGAACAGUGUUCUAUUUGCCAGAGUUAAAUAUGUUACAGCAGGGGUCUCCAAACUUGUUUAUACUUGUUGAUUUUAUUUUA
Molecule: long non-coding RNA, 841 nt
Organism: Paramisgurnus dabryanus
Lineage: Eukaryota; Metazoa; Chordata; Actinopteri; Cypriniformes; Cobitidae
Source: RefSeq, a predicted model, not a curated record